RNAcentral lists this long non-coding RNA (1349 nucleotides) under Manacus vitellinus (golden-collared manakin). RNAcentral describes it as "lncRNA (ENSMVIG00005012764.1)". The record is from RNAcentral. Lineage: Eukaryota; Metazoa; Chordata; Aves; Passeriformes; Pipridae.
GAGCUGCCAUAGAUAGGCUGGUAAAGUACUUAAAAAAAGCAAAAAAAAAAAAAAAAAGCCAUUACAAUAUAUCCAGAUACUUUUCAAGAACUUUUGUCGGGCAUGGCCAAACUUGGAGCCAUAUUUCAUAAGAACUGCUAUUUACAUUUCAGCUCCAUAGGCUCGCUCUUUAUGUCCUUUUCCAUUGCUCUGCAAUUGCCAAAGGCUUUUGCACAAAUAGGAAUUCUUCCCUGUGGCUCCCCCCAGGCCGUGGAGCCCUCGGGGCUGCUGUGACAUCACCCCUUGUCCUCAGGAACUCCUCAGAUGUGACCUCAGGUGUGGGUCUUUUUUUUUUUUUUUUUUUUUGGUAUAACCAUUAUUGAAAAGGCAGCAGAGGAGAUUUACUGGCUGGUAAGAGUUUCUAAUGAUCAGAGAUUAAGGGUGGGACUUUCCAAACAGUCUGAGCCUUGAGCACAGUCGGGUUUGAACUCCAUUACCCAGCAGCUUUUCAAGGCUCCACCCUAAAUCUGUAUGAAAUUAUUCUAGCGGCGAGGAAAGUAUAUUUACCUAAUGUCAAAUAUUAAACAUUACUGCCCAUUAAAAUAUAGGGCUUCAUUAUAUUUGGCCUGGUGCAGAUGUGCAGGAGAGAAGGAGUAAUUAUCUUUUCCCAAGCCCUGCACCUCGGCGGAGGAGUCGUCGCCGAAUUUUGGUGUCUGCCCGUGGGUAACGAGCGUCUACUUUUUGGAGGAGCGAGUUCCACCUUCAGGCCAUAAUUGCUUCUGAGAACCAGGUCCCUCAGAACGCGGGGGAGCCCAACUGACCAUGCAGAAGACGAGGCAUCCAAACUUGCGGGCGCCUUGGAAAAGCCGAGGCCGAAAUAACUCACUCGCUGUCACGCAGCGAAGCCCUGCCAGCCGUGGGAUGGGAACACAGGCCUCUUUAUUCCGCUUUAUUCCCAACCCCUGGGCCUGCUCCACCAGCAGCCCUCGGCUCACCAGGCUGGGCAGGGUCUGGCAGGGGGCACCUCUUCCUUUUGUGCCGCUCGGCACAUCCCUCGGGCUCGCACGGUCGAACACAGAAUGCCUGGAAGAGGAGCAGCUCCUGGAAAAGCCCGAGGCACCCAGGCCUGAGUUUCCACGGUAACUCCAGCCCUUAUCUGCUGCUGCUGUUUGGCACACAGACAACAAGGCCUUUCAGUUUACUUCUCCCAUUUUUUUCCCCCCCUAAUAUUAUUUUCUUUAAAAACCUUUUUUUUUUUUUUUUUUUUAAUUCUUGGCCGUGUUCUUUUUUCUUCUUUUUUAUAUAUUAUAUAUUUAUAUAUAUAUUUUUAUUAUUUUUACUUCUCCCAACCCCUGUCAUUUAAAAAUCAC